RNAcentral lists this microRNA precursor (277 nucleotides) under Medicago truncatula (barrel medic). Its description in RNAcentral is "MIR2655 microRNA precursor family". It matches the Rfam family "MIR2655 microRNA precursor family". The record is from Rfam by way of RNAcentral. Lineage: Eukaryota; Viridiplantae; Streptophyta; Magnoliopsida; Fabales; Fabaceae.
CCCUUAACUAUUAAAGUUUCGUUUUGGUCCCUUAACUUACUUUUUGGUUUCGUUUUGGUCCCUUAACUCUUUCUCCGUCAACCACUUUGGUCCUUUAUGUUAGGAUGAAUGUAUUAGAGUUAAGGACCAAAACGAAAUCAAAAAAUAAGUUAAGUGACCAAAACGAAACCAAAAAAUAAGUUAAGGAACCAAAAAGAAACUUUUAAUAGUUAAGGGACCAAAACAAAACCAAAAAAUAAGUUAAGGGACCAAAACGAAACUUUUAAUAAUUAAGGGA